Molecule: ribosomal RNA, 346 nt
Filed under: uncultured bacterium
Lineage: Bacteria
Description: partial 16S ribosomal RNA
Rfam family: Bacterial small subunit ribosomal RNA
Source: RNAcentral
CCUACGGGAGGCUGCAGUGAGGAAUAGUGGUCAAUGGGCGCGAGCCUGAACCAGCCAAGUAGCGUGAAGGAUGACUGCCCUACGGGUUGUAAACUUCUUUUAUAAAGGAAUAAAGUGAGGCACGUGGGCCGUUUUGUAUGGACUUUAUGAAUAAGGAUCGGCUAACUCCGUGCCAGCAGCCGCGGUAAUACGGAGGAGCCGAGCGUUAUCCGGAUUUAUUGGGUUGAAAGGGCGCGUAGAUGGGUUGUUAAGUCAGUUGUGAACGUUUGCGGCUCAACCGUAAAAUUGCAAUUGAUCCUGGCAGUCUUGAUUACAGUUGCGGUAGGCGGAAUUCGUGGUGUAGCGG